AUGUGGGUUUUCCUCUUUCUGAUAGCAGCUUCCAGAGGUGCCUUGUCCCAGGUGAAGCUUCAGGAGUCAGGCCCAGGACUGGUGAAGCCCUCGCAAACCCUUUCUAUUACCUGUGCUGUCUCUGUAUUCUCUUUAAGCAGCUAUGCUGUGAGCUGGGUCCGUCAGCCUCCAGGGAAGCAACUAGACUGGCUUGGUGCAAUAGGGUAUAGUGGGAGCACAUUCUAUAACCCAACUCUCAAGUCCCAAGUCAGCAUCACCAAGGAAAACUCCAAGAGCCAAGUUUAA
Trichechus manatus latirostris (Florida manatee) is the source of this 285-nucleotide non-coding RNA. Lineage: Eukaryota; Metazoa; Chordata; Mammalia; Sirenia; Trichechidae. The record is from the annotation of a RefSeq genome assembly.